Molecule: RNA transcript, 2013 nt
Organism: Motacilla alba alba
Lineage: Eukaryota; Metazoa; Chordata; Aves; Passeriformes; Motacillidae
Gene: PPIC
Gene name: peptidylprolyl isomerase C
Exons: 5
Source: RefSeq, a predicted model, not a curated record
CCGGGACCGGAGCUCAGCCCCACGCGGGCCACCGCUCUGGCUUCUCCAGGACGGCUUCUCCAGGAUGGGUGACCGAUCCCUGGUAUACGUGACCGCCUCAUGGGAUGGGUGAUCGCUCCCUGGCAUGGGUGGCUACUCCCCGGGAUGGAUGAUGGCUCCUCAGGAUGAAUGACCGCUCCCCGAGUUGGGGGCCUCUCCUCUGGACGGGUAGCCUUUCCCCGGGAUGGAUGACCACUCCCCAGCACGGAUGGCCGCUCCCUGGAACUGGUGGCCUUUUCUUCGGGAGGGACGACCGCUCGCCGGGGCGGGCGCCCGCUCCCCGGAGCCCCCCGCCCCGGCGCGGGAGGAGCCGCCCUUCCCCAGCGCAGGCGCCGCAGCGCUCGGCCGGCGCCAUGGCCCGCGGGGCGCUGCUCGGCGCUGUGGCUUGUCUGUGCUUCCUGGCCCCCGUGGCCGAGGCCUUCAAGAAGAGAGGACCCAGCGUGACAGCCAAGGUGUUCUUUGAUGUGAAGAUCGGAGACGAAGAUGUUGGCAGAAUUGUAAUUGGAUUGUUUGGAAAAGUUGUCCCAAAGACCGUGGAGAACUUCAUUGCAUUGGCAACUGGAGAAAGAGGAUAUGGAUACAAAGGAAGUAAAUUUCAUCGUGUGAUCAAAGACUUCAUGAUUCAAGGAGGAGACUUUACAGCUGGAGAUGGAUCAGGAGGAAGAAGCAUCUAUGGAGAAAGGUUUCCUGAUGAGAACUUCAAGCUCAAACACUACGGAAUUGGAUGGGUUAGCAUGGCUAAUUCUGGCCCAGACACCAACGGAUCCCAGUUCUUCAUCAGUGUGACAAAGCCUUCCUGGUUAGAUGGAAAACACGUAGUAUUUGGCAAAGUUCUUGAUGGAAUGGUAAGUUUAAAGUAGUGGUUGAUCUGGACAAAUUGUGCCCAUUAUGCCACUGUUACCAUGGUUCAGAAAAUGAUUCUGAAGAGCUCCAGCUGGAUGAUUUAGAACUGAAAUAGCAAAAAUGGAAACCUGUACCAUGCUUUUGGCUUUCCCAGCCCUUGUUUCAUACUGCUAAGCACUGAAAUCAACACUGACACCCUUGCAAAUUACAAAUGAAGAGAGUUCAGCUCCUCCUUUCAGUAGCACUGUUACCCAUGAAAUAAUUCUUUUUGUACAGGCUAAAAUCAAAUUUUGUAGUGCAUGCUAGUUAUGGGUAAUACUUUUACUGUUAAAGGUUUUUAGAAGCAUGUGAAUGUAAAGCAGGCAAACACAUACUGAUGAGAUGCCAAAUAGAAUUUCAAGCUAAAAAAAUUAUGUUUUCAAGUGAUCAUACUUUUAUUAGUCUGGUUCUCCUUACAAAUUAUUCCCUUUUAAUCUGUGUUUUGAAAUUAUUGGGGAAAACAUGAGCUGCUCGAUGGACUUUGAAGAGUUUGAAAACUUCAUCAGAAUACUUGCCCCUCACUCCCAUAUUCAUACUGAACUCAAUUUUCGUGAUCUACAGUAGUAGCUGUAAAUUUUUGAAAAGCUAUUUAGACUUAAGUUUCAGUUUAGUCAGAUUAGUGGACAAAUAUCAAACAAGUUGUCAAUAUACCUAAAUUAAUUUUGUCCUUUAAAAAUAUUGCUAUUACACUAAAAAUCUGUAUGUGUGUGUUGUAUGCUAAAGGUAAAAGCAGUAACCAGAUUUCUGGAAGCACAGUUAAGCUGUACAAUUAGAAAAAUAAUAAUGUGAUCUCUGGAUUCACUUUCUGCUUACGGUCCACAGAUAGAAUCCUGUAUGUGCCAACUUAAUUAGCUGAAUGUACAUUUUCAGUUGCACCUUCAAAAUGUUUUUGCUGGCUGAAAGGUUUCCUAGGAGGGCAAACAGCCUUCCCUGUGCUUCUGUCAACUGUGUUUGAUUUACAGAGUGGCACAACUGCUAAUGUGGAAAGAAAAGGAUGUGGGAAGUUGACAGGGUAAAGGUCUUUGUUCACAAGCUGGUUAAUAAUCAGUGAUGUUAGGUGCACUUUUUUGUUUCUGUGGCACCAGACUUCAG